Molecule: long non-coding RNA, 1409 nt
Organism: Brassica napus (rape)
Lineage: Eukaryota; Viridiplantae; Streptophyta; Magnoliopsida; Brassicales; Brassicaceae
Exons: 2
Source: RefSeq, a predicted model, not a curated record
AGGUCUUCUACCUGAUUAUAACAACAUAUUUUCCAUUACAUAAAUCACUACGUAUGCACUACAGGAAAUGUACGUAUUGGUAGCAUCAUUUUAUAGCGUUUAUGACAGUUGUGCUAUUGUAUACCAACACUUGCUUUAUUUAUAGCGUUUGUUGAUUUCAAAAGCUAUAUUUGUUACGGCGGGAAAAUAAAAUUUUUUAGCCGCGAAUGUAUACAAUAAGGUAUGUUCUCAUCCAAUCGUUCUUCUUUGUUCUAUCUCUCAUUGAGGAGUAAAAACAACAAUUCUCUCUUGAUUAGGGUUCGUAUCAUCACUCUCUGGCUCCAAAAUCAAUAUCGAAACACUCGGUUUACUCUACGACAAUCUACGACAAUCGCCGGCAGUCGCUACGAGUUGUCGAAUCAAAUGGAGGUGGGGUUAGAUUCGUUUCAGAGACAAGUCGCCGAAAGGUUUAUCGAUCUAAAUUCAGGAGAAGGAUAGUGUGAAUCCAAGCACGGCUGCUUCAAGCACAUAAGCCAUGGAAUUGGAGAAGCCAAAGGAAAAGCAGAACAAGGAAGGAAUUAGUUACAUCGUCAGCCGCGAAGCCGUGGACUCAUCAGCUCGUCUCCAGUAUCCUUCGCUCCUUACCCAAGAUUAUUCUUCAAUUCUCCACUUAUAAUGUAUUGAAGGCCUCAGGAAAGAAGUGUAUUCACAGAACAACGACGAGGUCUUGGGAAAUGGUUUGACGCCAUCUGCAGGCUGCAGCUGAUGUUGUUGUGUAUGCAGAUUUGCAUUCUUCAGUGCCAGGUCUUGAGAAGGUGAAGACAGCGAUGAUGUUGAGAAGGAGAUUUCUCGGCAAGCUUCCAAAGCCCAGUCUGUUUCCCAAUCUCACUCUGUUUCUUAGUUUUCGAUUCUGCUAAGUAGUUAAAAGGUGUUGUGUUGAAUUAGACUGAGGAGUAGCAUAACAAGGCGAGAGUCGUUGUCUUAGUUGAGAUCAGUCCUUGUCAAAUGCUUUUUGUUUCUUAUGGUCUUGUUUUCUUUGUGUUCGUGAAGGGUAUUGUAAGAAUCGAUAACAUCAGUGGAUUGCCUGAUGAACUGUUGGUGAGGAUACUAUCGUUAGUUCCAACAUUCACUGCUUGUACUUAUGGAUUUUAUCAACAAGAAUCUGCCAUUACAUAGAGCUCCUGUCAUAGAAAGCUCACGUCCUUCUUUAUGGGAGUCAAGGGUGAAAAUAUUAAACCUGAAAAUAUCAGAAUGUGGGUUGAUAUUGAUGUAUAUUGCUAUCUACGUAAGCUGGACGUUUCUUAUUCUUCGGUUAAGAAAGAAAACAUGGUUCCCAACAGCUUGUUUACUUGCAAAACGCUUGUGAUCUUGAAACCUUGAACCAAUACAUGUCUUUUCAUAUGUAUAACAUAAUUCUACUUUCAUCUGUU